UGCGCACGCCGCGUGAGCGAUGAAGGCCUUCGGGUCGUAAAGCUCUGUCCUAAGGGAAGAUAUAGACGGUACCUUAGGAGGAAGCCCCGGCUAACUACGUGCCAGCAGCCGCGGUAAUACGUAGGGGGCAAGCGUUAUCCGGAAUUACUGGGCGUAAAGGGUGCGUAGGCGGUCAAAUAAGUCAGGGGUGAAAGACUAUCGCUCAACGAUAGCAAGCCUUUGAAACUAUUUGACUUGAGUGCAGGAGAGGAGAGUGGAAUUUCUAGUGUAGCGGUGAAAUGCGUAGAUAUUAGAAGGAACACCAGUGGCGAAGGCGACUCUCUGGACUGCAACUGACGCUGAGGCACGAAAGCGUGGGGAGCAAACAGGAUUAGAUACCCUGGUAGUCCACGCCGUAAACGAUGAGUGCUAGGUGUCGGGGGUCAAACCUCGGUGCCGGAGCUAACGCAAUAAGCACUCCGCCUGGGGAGUACGCUCGCAAGAGUAAAACUCAAAGGAAUU
RNAcentral lists this ribosomal RNA (501 nucleotides) under uncultured bacterium. RNAcentral's name for it is "bacterial SSU rRNA". It matches the Rfam family "Bacterial small subunit ribosomal RNA", at positions 388 to 911 of the family's 1533-position model. The record is from RNAcentral.